UGCUAGAAGAUGGCGACCGGCGCACGGGUGAGUAACGCGUAUGCAACCUACCUUUCACAGGGGGAUAGCCCAAAGAAAUUUGGAUUAACACCGCAUAAUAUGAUUGAUUCGCAUGGAUUAAUUAUUAAAUCUUCGGAGGUGAAAGAUGGGCAUGCGUAGCAUUAGUUAGUUGGUGAGGUAAUGGCUCACCAAGACGAUGAUGCUUAGGGGGUCUGAGAGGAUAGUCCCCCACACUGGUACUGAGACACGGACCAGACUCCUACGGGAGGCAGCAGUGAGGAAUAUUGGUCAAUGGACGCAAGUCUGAACCAGCCAUGUCGCGUGCAGGAUGACGGCCCUAUGGGUUGUAAACUGCUUUUUUACAGGAAUAAACGUUGCUACGUGUAGUGAUUUGAAUGUACUGUAUGAAUAAGGAUCGGCUAACUCCGUGCCAGCAGCCGCGGUAAUACGGAGGAUUCGAGCGUUAUCCGGAUUUAUUGGGUUUAAAGGGUCCGUAGGCGGUUCUUUAAGUCAGUGGUGAAAUCCCAGAGCUCAACUCUGGAACUGCCAUU
This 551-nucleotide ribosomal RNA is filed under the name Trichococcus sp. 16SWWS1 10-1. RNAcentral's name for it is "bacterial SSU rRNA". It matches the Rfam family "Bacterial small subunit ribosomal RNA", at positions 78 to 628 of the family's 1533-position model. The record is from RNAcentral. Lineage: Bacteria; Bacillati; Bacillota; Bacilli; Lactobacillales; Carnobacteriaceae.